This 377-nucleotide ribosomal RNA is filed under the name uncultured bacterium. RNAcentral describes it as "bacterial SSU rRNA". It matches the Rfam family "Bacterial small subunit ribosomal RNA", at positions 524 to 898 of the family's 1533-position model. The record is from RNAcentral.
UACGUAGGGUGCGAGCGUUGUCCGGAAUUACUGGGCGUAAAGAGCUCGUAGGUGGUUUGUCGCGUCGUCUGUGAAAUUCCGGGGCUUAACUCCGGGCGUGCAGGCGAUACGGGCAUAACUUGAGUACUGUAGGGGAGACUGGAAUUCCUGGUGUAGCGGUGAAAUGCGCAGAUAUCAGGAGGAACACCGGUGGCGAAGGCGGGUCUCUGGGCAGUAACUGACGCUGAGGAGCGAAAGCAUGGGUAGCGAACAGGAUUAGAUACCCUGGUAGUCCAUGCCGUAAACGGUGGGCGCUAGGUGUAGGGGUCUUCCACGACUUCUGUGCCGUAGCUAACGCAUUAAGCGCCCCGCCUGGGGAGUACGGCCGCAAGGCUAAA